This 75-nucleotide non-coding RNA is filed under the name Streptomyces sp. NRRL S-4. Lineage: Bacteria; Bacillati; Actinomycetota; Actinomycetes; Kitasatosporales; Streptomycetaceae. The record is from RNAcentral.
CUUCAGGGACCCCAAGUGCAGCGGAGGGGCCUCGGCGCGCCCCUGCCCGUACGUCGCGAGUACCGCCUGCGCCUC